This 552-nucleotide ribosomal RNA is filed under the name uncultured Acaulospora. RNAcentral's name for it is "SSU rRNA". It matches the Rfam family "Eukaryotic small subunit ribosomal RNA", at positions 548 to 1098 of the family's 1831-position model. The record is from RNAcentral. Lineage: Eukaryota; Fungi; Glomeromycota; Glomeromycetes; Diversisporales; Acaulosporaceae.
UUGGAGGGCAAGUCUGGUGCCAGCAGCCGCGGUAAUUCCAGCUCCAAUAGCGUAUAUUAAAGUUGUUGCAGUUAAAAAGCUCGUAGUUGAAUUUCGGGGUUCAUCCGUUGGUCGGGCUUUUUUGGUCUGUACUGGCGUGAUGGAUUCCUACCCUCUGAAUAACCGGCAUGUCAUUAAUUUGGUGCGCCGGGGAAGCAGGACUGUUACCUUGAAAAAAUUAGAGUGCUUAAAGCAGGCUAUCGCCUGAAUACAUUAGCAUGGAAUAAUGAAAUAGGACGGCAUGGUUCUAUUUUGUUGGUUUCUAGGAUCACCGUAAUGAUUAAUAGGGAUAGUUGGGGGCAUUAGUAUUCAAUUGUCAGAGGUGAAAUUCUUGGAUUUAUUGAAGACUAACUUCUGCGAAAGCAUUUGCCAAGGAUGUUUUCAUUAAUCAAGAACGAAAGUUAGGGGAUCGAAGACGAUCAGAUACCGUCGUAGUCUUAACCAUAAACUAUGCCGACUAGGGAUCGGACGAAGUUAAUUUUAUAAUGACGCGUUCGGCGCCUUACGGGAAAC